UACGAAGGGGGCUAGCGUUGUUCGGAAUUACUGGGCGUAAAGCGCGCGCAGGCGGCUAUCCAAGUCAGUGGUGAAAGCCCGGAGCUCAACUCCGGAACUGCCAUUGAAACUGUUUAGCUUGAGUAUGAGAGAGGUGAGUGGAAUUCCCGGUGUAGUGGUGAAAUGCGUGGAUAUCGGGAGGAACACCAGUGGCGAAGGCGACCUCCUGGCCUGUUCUUGACGCUCAUGCACGAAGGCUAGGGUAGCGAACGGG
RNAcentral lists this ribosomal RNA (253 nucleotides) under uncultured bacterium. Its description in RNAcentral is "partial 16S ribosomal RNA". It matches the Rfam family "Bacterial small subunit ribosomal RNA", at positions 524 to 776 of the family's 1533-position model. The record is from RNAcentral.